Molecule: long non-coding RNA, 3173 nt
Organism: Oncorhynchus mykiss (rainbow trout)
Lineage: Eukaryota; Metazoa; Chordata; Actinopteri; Salmoniformes; Salmonidae
Source: RefSeq, a predicted model, not a curated record
UCAACGGGAAUAAUAUUUGGCGCGGAAACUUCUGUUGUGUUGAGAUGUGUACCAAGAGAGAUGAAGGUUGUCAGUAAAUAGCAAUGGCUCCGGCUUCUAACACAGAGAAGUGAAUCUGAACGGAAAGUUACUGUAAACAAACAAGCAUGUUAGCGAGCUAGACAAGAGGGAACAUGAAAAUACGGCUUAGCCAGCAAGCUCAUGCUGUCUGCUAACGUUACAAUAGCUCUCACUAACAGCAAAGAAACUAUUAGCCAGUUAACGUUAGCUAGCUUUUCCAGAAUUACUAGAUUGAGUUACAUUUACACUGAAUGAUCGUAAUAUGAUUAAUUACCCACAGUUAGCUGGCUAGCUACUCUGUGAUGAUGACAUUUUAGAAAGUGGUCUGUCGCUAGCGAAAUUUAGCAACGCGGGUCUGUUUACAUACAUUAGCGUUGCUCCUAUUGUAAUUGGGUUACACCGAAACAGGAAGUCAGAAGUUCCAUUCAACUUUUACAUUUUUUUUAAGCCCUCGAUUUUCAUUGAGUUGUCGCCAACCAUUUUCUCUUGAAGCAUCGCACCUUGCAUUGAUGAGCCUGGAAAGAGUGGCGAUAACAUCAUUAUUGGCAGUGGCAUCUGGGCCCAGUUCCAAACAUGCCUUUCUUGGAAGCUGGAGGUUUGCUUGGGGUUAUAGGCAAAGAAGGAAAAUCCUCGUCUGACACGGGGAUGACUGGUCUGGCAGCUCAAUAUGGCCAAGGGAGAGAAGGUGGUGGAUUUGACCAGUGUGUAUGUAGAGGUGGACGAGGAACUCUCGGAUGGCCAGAGAGGCAGGACGGUGACUGAAUCGUUGAUGAUGUUUUCUUGAAGAUCACACACACAAUGCAGUGGUUCAGCAGGAGAUGAUGCGCUGUCUGCCGCUGACUUCCCACUCGCCAUCUCUCGCCGCUGUCAUCAAAUGGACUCAUGCUAGCAACAAGUUCUGACUGAGCUCUAUUGUCAUGAAACGCCAUACAACUGCAGAGUUUCUCUCUUUCUCGCACAAACUUAGAACGAGGAGCGCCCACAAUGUGUUUUGUGCGGGGGAAGUGCUUACUAAUGAGUCUCUCAUAACGAAGAAAUGAGUAAAAGGACAAGUCCUGACCAAACAUCCACAGCAUGAUGGUAAACCCAGAGAGUUAUUUCAGAACAGGGCAGAAUGCUUCAGGAAACAGUGCUUCAGGAAACAGUGCUUCAGGAAACAGUGCUUCAGGAAACAGUGCUUCAGGAAACAGUGCUUCAGGAAACAGUACUUCGACAGUGGAAAAGUAAGUCAGCUAGCAAGGGAUUGUUGUCAUUUUAUAACAGGUGAUGGAUGAUAAGCAGAAAUAAGGGAGUACUAACUAACUCUCAUAGUAGUAGAUGUGAGUUUCUCUUUCAAACAAUCCGCUGGCCUUGUACACAGCCAAUAGCUAACAUUCACCAAAGUAAGCUAGCUAAUGAUAGUGCAACCCUCAGUAACAGUCCAGAUGAAUAAUGAUCAGGCCUACUGUUCAUCUUACUGUUGAAAAUUAGUCUAGGUUGGAACUGUUGCUGUUAAAAUACAAUAAUAAUUUGUAUUCUUAACUGAAAUAAACUGAUUGAAGCAAGAUGAUAUUUGAGGCAAACACACUCACACAGUUCUGGGUUGUUCGUCUACAACAGGAAGCGGUCUCCUGCCUGACUGAGAAAGCAGUAGAUGUUCUGGUCCCGUUUGGCACCACAUACCUAUGUGAGUCAGGGUGUUCAACUCUAACGUACAGAAACAGUUUCAAGGCUGAGCAUCACCUGAUUGUUGUACUGUCUAAAACAGAGCCCAGAAUAUAGAUGUGCUUGUUGGUCACAUCACACAGAUGUAGACCAUUCUGUUUAUUCCAGUUCAGAGUAAGACAUAUGUAUUGUAUUUUAACAGCAACAGUUCCAACCUUGACUUUCGUUCAACAGUAAGAUGUACAGUAGGCCUGAUCAUUUUUCAUCUGGACUGUUACUGAGGGUUGCACUAUCAAAAUGCUGGCGGGUGGUCCCGGAGUUGAGAGAGAACUUGGGUAAAUACAAUGGUGCAUUUACGCUUGACAUGUGGACUGAUUGAUUUUUGAAAAAUUGGCACGGUGGGCUUUUGGUUUCUCUCCCUCUAAGAAACAUAAAUGGUUCUAAAUAACAAACAGACUAGAUUUACCACAGUGUGAAGGAGUGGUAACCCCUCUUUAGAAAGUGCGUUCUUGAGUCCUUUGCUGAUGUGUAGAAGAAACUGAAAGAGAGUCCAGCGAGGAUAGGGAGGGGGAAAAAGGUGAGCUGAGCUACUUUGUUUAUUUAUGAAAUAUUCUAGUUUAUUUAGGCUAAUUUUCUAAUAUAUAUGUUUAGGCUUGGCCUGUUUAGUAGGCUAUUUUUGCAGCAUAAAGCUAUAUAUGUGGAAAAAUCCCCCAAUCUGUGUCACAGUUUAGACUACUGAUAGAUGCUGCGGUCAGUCAGUUGAGUCCUAUUGUAAAGUGUAGCCUAAAGGGCAGACUUGCAAUGUAUUCGAUGUUUAAGUACUCUAAAGUUUAACAUUUCUAACUCAAUAUCACAGACCAGAUUUGCCCUAAUGAAAAAUGCAUCAACUCCUGCAACUAUAUAAAUGUAUUAUAAUCCACUUAAUUUGUACAAAAUUAGCUGUAGCAAGAGGAGAGACUGCAUGCUAAAGACGAUCAGAAUGUCUUCAACCUGCAUUGUAAUAUAACUUAGUUUGAAGGAAGAACAGGAAUGAGUGAUUCACUCAGCCUCAUGCUGUUCCUGCAUCUGUUGCCUAUUUGAGUGUUUGUUAAAUAUCCUACUGAUUCUGAGAUCACCAAGCCUCGCGUAACCGCACAAUGUCGGGGAAAGCAAUUUCACAAAUCCGUCUGUUUCUAAACUUUGCUGUGCUGUAUUAAAGGCUAUACAAUUUAUUUUUUUUCUCAGUCAAAUGCAUUCGUGAAUUCAAUCACUUUAGCCAACAUGUUGCUGUUUUACUCAUUGUUUAAUUAUUAAAGGCUCCCGUUGUUUUUUAGUUUUAGAACUAAAAUGCCUGACUGUGUGUUUUAAAGGCAUGGAUGACUUGUAUGUUGUGUGAUGACAUGGACAAAUGAAUGAAUGAUUUAUAUACUGCAUAUUGAAGUAGGUCUUUAUGCCAACAAGUACAUUACGCUAAAACAGCUACAGUAAAU